RNAcentral lists this ribosomal RNA (402 nucleotides) under bacterium. RNAcentral describes it as "partial 16S ribosomal RNA". It matches the Rfam family "Bacterial small subunit ribosomal RNA", at positions 355 to 776 of the family's 1533-position model. The record is from RNAcentral.
UGGGGAAUUUUGCACAAUGGGGGAAACCCUGAUGCAGCGACGCCGCGUGAUUUAGAAGGCCUUCGGGUUGUAAAAAUCUUUUUUACGGGAUGAAAAUGACAGUACCGUAAGAAUAAGGUCCGGCUAAAUACGUGCCAGCAGCCGCGGUAAUACGUAUGGACCGAGCGUUGUCCGGAAUCAUUGGGCGUAAAGGGUACGUAGGCGGCCUAGUAAGUUAGAAGUGAAAUAAUAUAGCUCAACUAUAUAAAGCUUUUAAAACUGCUAGGCUUGAGAGAUGGAAGGGAAAGUGGAAUUCCUAGUGUAGCGGUGAAAUGCGCAGAUCUUAGGAAGAAUACCGGUGGCGAAGGCGACUUUCUGGUCAGCAUCUGACGCUGAGGUACGAAAGCGUGGGUAGCAAACAGG